CAUCUUCGGCACGUGAUCGCGAACCAUUCCAAAAAACCCGCAACCCAGUCGAACUCCUAUAAAUACCGAGUCCCACAUCCUUCUCGAAACACCUCACCAACUCGCCGCAGUUGUACGGACUUCCACGGACCACCGGUGAGUUCCGCAAGAAGAUGACCGGAGUUUUCGACAGGAACCACUUCACUCGACUUCCUUUCACGUAACCCGCCAGCGCCGCCGAAGGAGUCCGAAGCCAACGAGGAUCUUACAUCAUCGAGUUUCGUGGGUGUGUUGUUGUUUCUUUUAUGGUUCAUGUUCCUGUUCGACACAAUCCAACCCUUUCGCUAUUUUUCGUUACACUUCAAGCAUUUGCCGGAAAUCCGCAAGCCACCGGGGACUUGCUGGAAGACCCGUGCUCACGCCGGAGCCGCUCGGAGUACACAACGGGAACUCAAGAUCGCGUGAUCGGGUAAAUCUCUUGCGCUUGUCACAACUCUCUUGGAUUCAACUCCACUCUCUAUUAUUUACCAAGAAACGCAACGCAAUCAAUGUGAGUAUACAUGACCCAUUUUCGUUUUACACUUUUGGGUGCAAUAUGUAUUACAUAUCAAACAUCACAACACAUUAAACAUUUUAUGCACACUCAUUCCAUAUUCUAUGUGACACACUCUAUUCAUGUUAGACAUGUUAUGCUACUGUAAACACCUAAUGACUAUGUGUUCAUUAACUUCGUACAAGCCUCCCCUAACAAUGGUAGCGCUAUAGGUUGAGAAACGCCCCUCCUGUUCUA
Helianthus annuus (common sunflower) is the source of this 769-nucleotide long non-coding RNA. RefSeq lists it as uncharacterized. Lineage: Eukaryota; Viridiplantae; Streptophyta; Magnoliopsida; Asterales; Asteraceae. The transcript is spliced from 3 exons. The record is from RefSeq and is a predicted model, not a curated record.